UCACAGUAAAUAGCCAUGAGGAAUUCGGCUCCUGAUGAAGGACAUGUAAGCAGCACAGUCCAGAUGAUCAGACGGGAUGAGAACAUGUUGAAACGGUCCAGGAACCCGAGACGGAUUAAAAAAUGACAGCAAGUCUUAGCUGCCCUAUGGACACACACACACACACUGAUCGCACUUUAAAUAAACACGCUGGUUUCCAGGAAUGUCUGUGAAAUUCUCUCAUGUCAAUAAAUACUUCCAAACUUC
This is a long non-coding RNA of Cyprinodon tularosa, 246 nucleotides long. RefSeq lists it as uncharacterized. The record is from RefSeq and is a predicted model, not a curated record. The transcript is spliced from 2 exons. Lineage: Eukaryota; Metazoa; Chordata; Actinopteri; Cyprinodontiformes; Cyprinodontidae.